UACGUAGGUGGCAAGCGUUUGUCCGGAUUUACUGGGCGUAAAGAGCGCGCAGGCGGUCGGAUAAGUCGAAUGUGAAAGCCCCCGGCUCAACUGGGGAGGGUCAUUCGAUACUGUUCGACUCGAAGGCAGGAGAGGGAAGUGGAAUUCCCGGUGUAGUGGUGAAAUGCGAUAGAUAUCGGGAGGAACACCAGUGGCGAAGGCGACUUCCUGGCCUGUUCUUGACGCUGAGGCGCGAAAGCUAGGGGAGCAAACGGG
RNAcentral lists this ribosomal RNA (255 nucleotides) under uncultured bacterium. Its description in RNAcentral is "partial 16S ribosomal RNA". It matches the Rfam family "Bacterial small subunit ribosomal RNA", at positions 524 to 776 of the family's 1533-position model. The record is from RNAcentral.